RNA transcript from Musa acuminata AAA Group (dessert banana), 1733 nucleotides. It is a transcript of the gene named nuclear pore complex protein NUP35-like, with no coding region annotated. The transcript has 4 exons. NCBI's taxonomy places the organism in Eukaryota, Viridiplantae, Streptophyta, Magnoliopsida, Zingiberales, Musaceae. The record is from RefSeq and is a predicted model, not a curated record.
AAAGGGGCUCAGUUGUUUGAAAUUUCCCCACCAUUAUUUUCGUCCAACUAUUUAGGGUUUAGGGUUGGAGAGCAGAAGAGGAACAGGAAGUGGAAGAGGAGAGGAUAGCGAUUGAUCGAAGACCAUGAGCUCCCCGAUGCCGCGAAGUUCCAAGCCAACGCGGCUGUCUCCCUUCUUCCGCGAUCUCGCCUCGCCGAUCUCCCCUCACCACCGCCCCGUCGGUCGCUUCGCCACCCCCGGCCAAGCCGCCGCCGUCUCCGCCCUCUGGAAGGAGAACCUCGCCGGAUCAUCCGCGGAUCCCCCUCCGCCUCCCGUCUUCACCCUCGAUGACCGCGCUGAUCUCUCGCCGGAGGUCGGCCUCGGCGAGCUGCCGCCGCCCUCGCCGGUGUCCCCGACCAGCACCCGGAGCCGGACGCCUCCCCCCCGGCCGAAUCAGAAGGGAUAUCCCUCCCCUUCUCCGUCCCUCUCGUCGUCUUCCUUCGUCUUGAGAACCAGGGCUGAGGUGAUUGGUUCUGGCGUCGCUAACGGCCGAGGGCAGAGCCCUGAGGGUUCCAUCUGGAUGGCCUCGCCGAAGGCCGACGGAGGAGAGCGAGAGAUGGGCCAGGGUUCUCCGGUGGAUGGGGUUGUCGAGUCCGGUGCGUUGAUGGUACUCCCACCCCCGCUAUCGAGAGAGAUCGCGAGGCCAGAGCCACAAGGAUAUGGCGUGCAGAAUGGAGGGCUUGAUGCAGACGAGUGGGUUACUGUUUUUGGAUUUUCCCCUGAUCACACCAACUUGGUGCUACGUGAGUUUGAAAAAUGUGGUGUCAUAGUAAAACAUGUACCUGGACCAAGUGAUGCUAACUGGAUACACAUUUUGUACCAGAACCCGUAUGAUGCUCAAAAGGCUCUCAAGAAAAAUGGUAUGCGGCUAAACAGUCUGUUGAUUGUUGGGGUGAAACCUGUAGAUCCAGUGCAUCGUCAGCUUCUUAAGGAAAAAAUAAACAGAAGCAAUCAUGGAGGCUUCAUGGUUUCAUUACCCUCAAAAUCAGCUGCUUUAAAUAGCUCAGCAACUUCUAAUUCAUCAGGAAUCGUUGCUCGCUCCUAUCAACCAAAGACCAGCUCAAAUGUCACUACUGGUAGCUUCAACCGAGCAACAGGAUCUAUUGCAACUCCAGCAAAAUCAGUUGUAUCAAAAGUCAUGGACCUGAUGUUUGGGAUAUAAAUUGGACUUGGAUGAACAUCUAUCUACAUUGAUUACUUUGGCUCUUAAGCCUUUCUUUUCCUCUUUGAAGUUCUGUUGUAGAUGUUCUUUCCAUGUAUCUGAUGUAGUAGUCUGAUGUCAUUUCACCGGAAUUUGUUUCAUAGGACUGACUGCCUAGGAAUGGCUGAGGGUAACAAAAGCAAUUUGAUCAUGGACAGGAUUUGAAGUACUGGUAAUGCGUCUUGAUGUAAAAUUGAUACUCGACGAUCAUUCAGAAGAAGGAUCUCACAUUUCCAUGCAUCAGAAGGUACGUCACCGGUUGAUUACUGCAUGAAACAGUGCAUCGAUGCUGUGGCAUCUUAUGAGAGAACUCUUGGUUGCAAGGAAAAGCUAGCUCAACUGAUCUCAUCUUUACAUCAAUGUUUGUGCUUAUCGUGCAUCAUGGCUCUGCAGUUCUCAUGUAAAAUCUCAGCAACUUCAAUUUGACGAAUGUGUACAUUCUGAAAGAUCAUCAUUAUUUCCGGUCUCCGAGGCCCAUUGACAAGAUUCUUCA